GCCUAAUACAUGCAAGUCGAGCGGACAGAUGGGAGCUUGCUCCCUGAUGUUAGCGGCGGACGGGUGAGUAACACGUGGGUAACCUGCCUGUAAGACUGGGAUAACUCCGGGAAACCGGGGCUAAUACCGGAUGGUUGUUUGAACCGCAUGGUUCAAACAUAAAAGGUGGCUUCGGCUACCACUUACAGAUGGACCCGCGGCGCAUUAGCUAGUUGGUGAGGUAACGGCUCACCAAGGCAACGAUGCGUAGCCGACCUGAGAGGGUGAUCGGCCACACUGGGACUGAGACACGGCCCAGACUCCUACGGGAGGCAGCAGUAGGGAAUCUUCCGCAAUGGACGAAAGUCUGACGGAGCAACGCCGCGUGAGUGAUGAAGGUUUUCGGAUCGUAAAGCUCUGUUGUUAGGGAAGAACAAGUACCGUUCGAAUAGGGCG
Molecule: ribosomal RNA, 435 nt
Filed under: uncultured bacterium
Lineage: Bacteria
Description: bacterial SSU rRNA
Rfam family: Bacterial small subunit ribosomal RNA
Source: RNAcentral